AAUAUACGCUCGUCUCAAAGGUUAAGCCAUGCAUGUCUAAGUACAAACUAAAAUAAAGUGAAACCGCAAAAGGCUCAGUAUAACAGCUGUAAUUUCUUAGAUCAUAUUCCCAGUACUUGGAUAACUGUGGAAAAUCUAGAGCUAAUACAUGCAAAUAAUACAAGUACCCGUCAAACGGUUCUUGUGCAGUUAUUAGACAAACCAAUCAACCCUUCGGGGAUGUUCAAUCUGGUGGAACUCUGGAUAACUUUGCUGAUCGUAUGGCCUUUGUGCCGACGACAGAUCUUUCAAAUGUCUGCCCUAUCAACUUUGAUGGUAGUAUAGAGGACUACCAUGGUUGCUACGGGUAACGGGGAAUCAGGGUUCGAUUCCGGAGAGGGGGCCCGAGAAAUUGCCACCACAUCUAAGGAAGGCAGCAGGCGCGUAAAUUACCCAUUCUCAGCUCGAGGAGGUAGUGACGAAAAAUAACAAUAUAGAACUAAUCAUUUAGUUCUGUAAUUGGAAUGAAUCAAGUAUAAAUCCUUUAAUGAGGAUCCAGUGGAGGGCAAGUCUGGUGCCAGCAGCCGCGGUAAUUCCAGCUCCACUAGCGUAUAUUAAAAUUGUUGCGGUUAAAACGUUCGAAGUUGAUUGUUGUUCAGCACGGGUGCGGCGCCAUCAAGUAAAUGGCUGCCGUCAUUUCCGGUUGCUUGAACUAUAUGACUGAACACUUAAUGAAUAGCAUUGAUGCCUUUUACUAGGCUAGGUGUCUAUUUAGUUCGGCUUACUUUUACCUUGAACAAAUUAAGGUGCUCAAAGCAGGCUCUUAUGCCUUGAAUAUUUUUGCAUGGAAUAAUGGAAAAAGACCUCGGUCUUAUAGGUCGCAUGGGC
This 867-nucleotide ribosomal RNA is filed under the name Chironomidae sp. Chiro_H3. RNAcentral describes it as "bacterial SSU rRNA". It matches the Rfam family "Eukaryotic small subunit ribosomal RNA", at positions 21 to 852 of the family's 1831-position model. Lineage: Eukaryota; Metazoa; Arthropoda; Insecta; Diptera; Chironomidae. The record is from RNAcentral.